UAGGACGGGGUAGACAACAGGGUAUGCCUCAGUAACGGCGAGUGAAGCGGCAACAGCUCAAAUUUGAAAUCUGGCCGCAAGGUCCGAGUUGUAAUUUGUAGAGGAUGUUUCGGGCACCGCCGCGGUGUAAGUUCCUUGGAACAGGACGUCAAAGAGGGUGAGAAUCCCGUCUUGGAUCGCGGUAGGGCUCGUGUGAAACUCCUUCGACGAGUCGACUUGUUUGGGAAUGCAGGUCAAAAUGGGAGGUAAAUUUCUUCUAAAGCUAAAUAUUGGCCCGAGACCGAUAGCGCACAAGUAGAGUGAUCGAAAGAUGAAAAGCACUUUGAAAAGAGAGUUAAACAGUAUGUGAAAUUGUUGAAAGGGAAGCGCAGGCAACCAGACUCGAGCGCGGGGUUCCCCUGGUUCUGCCAGGUCACUUCCCCGCGACCGGGCCAUCAUCAGGUUUGGGGGUCGGUCAAAGGCCCCGGGAAUGUACCUACUCCUUCGGGGGUAGACUUAUAGCCCGGGGUGUCAUGCGACCUCCCGGGCCUGAGGAACGCGCUUCGGCGAGGAUGAUGGCGUAAUGGUUGUCUGCGACCCGUCUUGAAACACGGACCAA
Molecule: ribosomal RNA, 598 nt
Filed under: Lithohypha aloicola
Lineage: Eukaryota; Fungi; Ascomycota; Eurotiomycetes; Chaetothyriales; Trichomeriaceae
Description: partial large subunit ribosomal RNA
Rfam family: Eukaryotic large subunit ribosomal RNA
Source: RNAcentral